UACGUAGGGGGCAAGCGUUGUCCGAAUUUAUUGGGCGUAAAGAGCGUGUAGGCGGCCAGGUAGGUCCGUUGUGAAAACUCGAGGCUCAACCUCGAGACGCCGAUGGAAACCAUCUGGCUAGAGUCCGGAAGAGGAGAGUGGAAUUCCCGGUGUAGCGGUGAAAUGCGCAGAUAUCGGGAAGAACACCCGUGGCUAAGGCGGCUCUCUAGUACGGUACUGACGCUGAGACGCGAAAGCGUGGGGAGCGAACAGG
Molecule: ribosomal RNA, 253 nt
Filed under: uncultured bacterium
Lineage: Bacteria
Description: partial 16S ribosomal RNA
Rfam family: Bacterial small subunit ribosomal RNA
Source: RNAcentral